UGGGGAAUUUUGGACAAUGGGGGAAACCCUGAUCCAGCCAUCCCGCGUGUGCGAUGAAGGCCUUCGGGUUGUAAAGCACUUUUGGCAGGAAAGAAACGUCGCGGGUUAAUACCCCGCGAAACUGACGGUACCUGCAGAAUAAGCACCGGCUAACUACGUGCCAGCAGCCGCGGUAAUACGUAGGGUGCAAGCGUUAAUCGGAAUUACUGGGCGUAAAGCGUGCGCAGGCGGUUCGGAAAGAAAGAUGUGAAAUCCCAGAGCUUAACUUUGGAACUGCAUUUUUAACUACCGGGCUAGAGUGUGUCAGAGGGAGGUGGAAUUCCGCGUGUAGCAGUGAAAUGCGUAGAUAUGCGGAGGAACACCGAUGGCGAAGGCAGCCUCCUGGGAUAACACUGACGCUCAUGCACGAAAGCGUGGGGAGCAAACAGGAUUAGAUACCCUGGUAGUCCACG
RNAcentral lists this ribosomal RNA (452 nucleotides) under uncultured bacterium. RNAcentral's name for it is "partial 16S ribosomal RNA". It matches the Rfam family "Bacterial small subunit ribosomal RNA", at positions 355 to 799 of the family's 1533-position model. The record is from RNAcentral.